CGGGACACGUGGUAUCCUGUCUGAAUAUGGGGGGACCAUCCUCCAAGGCUAAAUACUCCUGACUGACCGAUAGUGAACCAGUACCGUGAGGGAAAGGCGAAAAGAACCCCGGCGAGGGGAGUGAAAAAGAACCUGAAACCGUGUACGUACAAGCAGUGGGAGCACGCUUAGGCGUGUGACUGCGUACCUUUUGUAUAAUGGGUCAGCGACUUAUAUUCUGUAGCAAGGUUAACCGAAUAGGGGAGCCGAAGGGAAACCGAGUCUUAACUGGGCGUUAAGUUGCAGGGUAUAGACCCGAAACCCGGUGAUCUAGCCAUGGGCAGGUUGAAGGUUGGGUAACACUAACUGGAGGACCGAACCGACUAAUGUUGAAAAAUUAGCGGAUGACUUGUGGCUGGGGGUGAAAGGCCAAUCAAACCGGGAGAUAGCUGGUUCUCCCCGAAAGCUAUUUAGGUAGCGCCUCGUGAAUUCAUCUCCGGGGGUAGAGCACUGUUUCGGCAAGGGGGUCAUCCCGACUUACCAACCCGAUGCAAACUGCGAAUACCGGAGAAUGUUAUCACGGGAGACACACGGCGGGUGCUAACGUCCGUCGUGAAGAGGGAAACAACCCAGACCGCCAGCUAAGGUCCCAAAGUCAUGGUUAAGUGGGAAACGAUGUGGGAAGGCCCAGACAGCCAGGAUGUUGGCUUAGAAGCAGCCAUCAUUUAAAGAAAGCGUAAUAGCUCACUGGUCGAGUCGGCCUGCGCGGAAGAUGUAACGGGGCUAAACCAUGCACCGAAGCUGCGGCAGCGACGCUUAUGCGUUGUUGGGUAGGGGAGCGUUCUGUAAGCCUGUGAAGGUGUGCUGUGAGGCAUGCUGGAGGUAUCAGAAGUGCGAAUGCUGACAUAAGUAACGAUAAAGCGGGUGAAAAGCCCGCUCGCCGGAAGACCAAGGGUUCCUGUCCAACGUUAAUCGGGGCAGGGUGAGUCGACCCCUAAGGCGAGGCCGAAAGGCGUAGUCGAUGGGAAACAGGUUAAUAUUCCUGUACUUGGUGUUACUGCGAAGGGGGGACGGAGAAGGCUAUGUUGGCCGGGCGACGGUUGUCCCGGUUUAAGCGUGUAGGCUGGUUUUCCAGGCAAAUCCGGAAAAUCAAGGCUGAGGCGUGAUGACGAGGCACUACGGUGCUGAAGCAACAAAUGCCCUGCUUCCAGGAAAAGCCUCUAAGCAUCAGGUAACAUCAAAUCGUACCCCAAACCGACACAGGUGGUCAGGUAGAGAAUACCAAGGCGCUUGAGAGAACUCGGGUGAAGGAACUAGGCAAAAUGGUGCCGUAACUUCGGGAGAAGGCACGCUGAUAUGUAGGUGAAGUCCCUCGCGGAUGGAGCUGAAAUCAGUCGAAGAUACCAGCUGGCUGCAACUGUUUAUUAAAAACACAGCACUGUGCAAACACGAAAGUGGACGUAUACGGUGUGACGCCUGCCCGGUGCCGGAAGGUUAAUUGAUGGGGUCAGCGCAAGCGAAGCUCUUGAUCGAAGCCCCGGUAAACGGCGGCCGUAACUAUAACGGUCCUAAGGUAGCGAAAUUCCUUGUCGGGUAAGUUCCGACCUGCACGAAUGGCGUAAUGAUGGCCAGGCUGUCUCCACCCGAGACUCAGUGAAAUUGAACUCGCUGUGAAGAUGCAGUGUACCCGCGGCAAGACGGAAAGACCCCGUGAACCUUUACUAUAGCUUGACACUGAACAUUGAGCCUUGAUGUGUAGGAUAGGUGGGAGGCUUAGAAGUGUGGACGCCAGUCUGCAUGGAGCCGACCUUGAAAUACCACCCUUUAAUGUUUGAUGUUCUAACGUUGACCCGUAAUCCGGGUUGCGGACAGUGUCUGGUGGGUAGUUUGACUGGGGCGGUCUCCUCCUAAAGAGUAACGGAGGAGCACGAAGGUUGGCUAAUCCUGGUCGGACAUCAGGAGGUUAGUGCAAUGGCAUAAGCCAGCUUGACUGCGAGCGUGACGGCGCGAGCAGGUGCGAAAGCAGGUCAUAGUGAUCCGGUGGUUCUGAAUGGAAGGGCCAUCGCUCAACGGAUAAAAGGUACUCCGGGGAUAACAGGCUGAUACCGCCCAAGAGUUCAUAUCGACGGCGGUGUUUGGCACCUCGAUGUCGGCUCAUCACAUCCUGGGGCUGAAGUAGGUCCCAAGGGUAUGGCUGUUCGCCAUUUAAAGUGGUACGCGAGCUGGGUUUAGAACGUCGUGAGACAGUUCGGUCCCUAUCUGCCGUGGGCGCUGGAGAACUGAGGGGGGCUGCUCCUAGUACGAGAGGACCGGAGUGGACGCAUCACUGGUGUUCGGGUUGUCAUGCCAAUGGCACUGCCCGGUAGCUAAAUGCGGAAGAGAUAAGUGCUGAAAGCAUCUAAGCACGAAACUUGCCCCGAGAUGAGUUCUCCCUGACCCUUUAAGGGUCCUGAAGGAACGUUGAAGACGACGACGUUGAUAGGCCGGGUGUGUAAGCGCAGCGAUGCGUUGAGCUAACCGGUACUAAUGAACCGUGAGGCUUAACCUUACAACGCCGAAGGUGUUU
Molecule: ribosomal RNA, 2545 nt
Filed under: Escherichia coli
Lineage: Bacteria; Pseudomonadati; Pseudomonadota; Gammaproteobacteria; Enterobacterales; Enterobacteriaceae
Description: partial 23S ribosomal RNA
Rfam family: Bacterial large subunit ribosomal RNA
Source: RNAcentral